This 243-nucleotide ribosomal RNA is filed under the name uncultured bacterium. Its description in RNAcentral is "partial 16S ribosomal RNA". It matches the Rfam family "Bacterial small subunit ribosomal RNA", at positions 28 to 248 of the family's 1533-position model. The record is from RNAcentral.
GAUGAACGCUGGCGGCGUGCUUAACACAUGCAAGUCGAACGGGUAACAUUUUAUUGAAGCUUCGGCAGAUUUAGUUUGUUUCUAGUGGCGGACGGGUGAGUAACGCGUGGGUAACCUGGCCUCACAACUGGGGGGAUAACAGUCAGAAAUGACUGCUAAUACCGCAUAAGCGCACGGAACCGCAUGGUUUUGUGUGAAAAAACUCCGGUGGUGUGAGAUGGUACCCGCGUUGGACUUAGCCAG